UACGGAGGAUGCGAGCGUUAUCCGGAAUUAUUGGGCGUAAAGCGUCCGUAGGUGGUCAUGCAAGUCUGCCGUUAAAGAAUGGAGCUCAACUCCAUAAAGGCGGUGGAAACUGCAAGACUAGAGUACAGUAGGGGUAGCAGGAAUUCCCAGUGUAGCGGUGAAAUGCGUAGAUAUUGGGAAGAACAUCGGUGGCGAAAGCGUGCUACUGGGCUGAAACUGACACUGAGGGACGAAAGCUAGGGUAGCAAAAGGG
Molecule: ribosomal RNA, 253 nt
Filed under: uncultured bacterium
Lineage: Bacteria
Description: partial 16S ribosomal RNA
Rfam family: Bacterial small subunit ribosomal RNA
Source: RNAcentral